RNAcentral lists this ribosomal RNA (253 nucleotides) under uncultured bacterium. Its description in RNAcentral is "partial 16S ribosomal RNA". It matches the Rfam family "Bacterial small subunit ribosomal RNA", at positions 524 to 776 of the family's 1533-position model. The record is from RNAcentral.
UACGUAGGAGGCAAGCGUUGUCCGGAAUUACUGGGCGUAAAGAGUGUGUAGGCGGUGCUCCCAGUCUGUUGUGAAAUCUCCCGGCUUAACUGGGAGGGUGCAGCGGAAACUAGAGUGCUAGAGGGUGGGAGAGGUAAGCGGAAUUCCUGGUGUAGCGGUGAAAUGCGUAGAUAUCAGGAGGAACACCUGUGGUGUAGACAGCUUACUGGACCACUUCUGACGCUGAGACACGAAAGCGUGGGUAGCAAACAGG